RNAcentral lists this ribosomal RNA (251 nucleotides) under uncultured bacterium. RNAcentral's name for it is "partial 16S ribosomal RNA". It matches the Rfam family "Bacterial small subunit ribosomal RNA", at positions 59 to 339 of the family's 1533-position model. The record is from RNAcentral.
AAGUCGAGCGACUCUUCGAGAGGAGCGGCGAACGGCUGCGUAACACGUUGGUACCUACCCCAGACUCAGGGAUAACCCCGCGAAAGCGGGGCUAAUACCGGAUGGUCUCGUUAGAGUAAAGCUUUUGCGGUCUGGGAGGGGCCUGCGGCCUAUCAGUUUGUUGGUGAGGUAAAAGCUCACCAAGACUAUGACGGGUAGCUGAUCUGAGAGGAUGAUCAGCCAGAAUGGGACUGAGACACGGCCCAUACUCC